RNAcentral lists this ribosomal RNA (492 nucleotides) under uncultured bacterium. RNAcentral's name for it is "partial 16S ribosomal RNA". It matches the Rfam family "Bacterial small subunit ribosomal RNA", at positions 29 to 507 of the family's 1533-position model. The record is from RNAcentral.
AGUGAACGCUGGCGGUAGGCCUAACACAUGCAAGUCGAACGGCAGCACAGUAAGAGCUUGCUCUUACGGGUGGCGAGUGGCGGACGGGUGAGGAAUACAUCGGAAUCUACUUUUUCGUGGGGGAUAACGUAGGGAAACUUACGCUAAUACCUCAUACGACCUACGGGUGAAAGCAGUGGAUCUUCGGACCUUGCGCGAUUGAAUGAGCCGAUGUCGGAUUAGCUAGUUGGCGGGGUAAAGGCCCACCAAGGCGACGAUCCGUAGCUGGUCUGAGAGGAUGAUCAGCCACACUGGAACUGAGACACGGUCCAGACGCCUACGGGAGGCAGCAGUGGGGAAUAUUGGACAAUGGGCGCAAGCCUGAUCCAGCCAGACCGCGUGGGUGAAGAAGGCCUUCGGGUUGUAAAGCCCUUUUGUUGGGAAAGAAAAGCAGCAGGUUAAUACCCCGCUGUUCUGACGGUACCCAAAGAAUAAGCACCGGCUAACUUCGUG